RNAcentral lists this small RNA (259 nucleotides) under Vigna angularis var. angularis. Its description in RNAcentral is "Non-protein coding transcript". The record is from RNAcentral. Lineage: Eukaryota; Viridiplantae; Streptophyta; Magnoliopsida; Fabales; Fabaceae.
GGCCACAUUACACUGCCAUUCCUUCACCAGCUGAUGAUGAUCUUAUGAUCUUCACAAUUUCCAAGUUCACAGGCCAUGCUGGGAGCAGAUUUGGAUGGGCAAUAAUAAAGGAUGAAGCAGUGUAUAAAAAGAUGUUGACAUAUUUGGAUAUGGACACCAUGGGAGUUUCCCGUGAGGCACAGCUGAGAUGUUUAAAGCUUUUGAAUGUUGUUCUUGAAGGAGAUGAUGGAAAAGAGAUAUUCAAAUUUGCAUAUUCAAC